This 492-nucleotide ribosomal RNA is filed under the name uncultured bacterium. RNAcentral describes it as "partial 16S ribosomal RNA". It matches the Rfam family "Bacterial small subunit ribosomal RNA", at positions 29 to 507 of the family's 1533-position model. The record is from RNAcentral.
AGUGAACGCUGGCGGUAGGCCUAACACAUGCAAGUCGAACGGCAGCACAGUAAGAGCUUGCUCUUACGGGUGGCGAGUGGCGGACGGGUGAGGAAUACAUCGGAAUCUACUUUUUCGUGGGGGAUAACGUAGGGAAACUUACGCUAAUACCGCAUACGACCUACGGGUGAAAGCAGGGGAUCUUCUGACCUUGCGCGAUUGGAUGAGCCGAUGUCGUAUUAGCUAGUUGGCGGGGUAAAGGCCCACCAAGGCGACGAUCCGUAGCUGGUCUGCGAGGAUGAUCAGCCACCCUGGAACUGAGACAGGGUCCAGACUCCUACGGGAGGCAGCAGUGGGGAAUAUUGGACAAUGGGCGCAAGCCUGAUCCAGCCAUACCGCGUGGGUGAAGAAGGCCUUCGGGUUGUAAAGCCCUUUUGUUGGGAAAGAAAAGCAGCAGGUUAAUACCCCGCUGUUCUGACGGUACCCAAAGAAUAAGCACCGGCUAACUUCGUG